AAUAAAGACACGAAGCCCUUAAGUUCCACUCAUUUCCGUACAAUGUAGUAACUCAUGUGUUUGUUUUCAUAUAAAGUUUAGAGCAGAGUUUUCUAUGCAAAGUUUAGACAAGAGAAAUCAAGAGUUCUAAUGAAUGAAAUGUAGAAAAAUCUUACCUUCAUUCUUUCUCUCAAGUUCAUCACCACAUCCUACAGUACAAGCAGGACAGCAAAGAAUUGCCACUCUCCUAUCAUCACAUACAUCAUACAUCACUCAAGGUAAUAUGAUUAUUUAUGGCAAGAUUAGGUUCUUAAGAAAGUUUUAUAACUGUAAACGUUUUUAUAAUUUAUAAAUAUCCAGAAGAUAUCUGUUUAAGAAAUUUUAUAAAUUAUAAAUAUAUUUAUACUUGAUUAAUC
Molecule: long non-coding RNA, 395 nt
Filed under: Selaginella moellendorffii
Lineage: Eukaryota; Viridiplantae; Streptophyta; Lycopodiopsida; Selaginellales; Selaginellaceae
Description: long non-coding RNA (SMOE_LNC002049)
Source: RNAcentral